RNAcentral lists this long non-coding RNA (1721 nucleotides) under Gossypium barbadense (sea-island cotton). Its description in RNAcentral is "long non-coding RNA (GBAR_LNC018851)". Lineage: Eukaryota; Viridiplantae; Streptophyta; Magnoliopsida; Malvales; Malvaceae. The record is from RNAcentral.
AAAGACACAGAGAAAGACGAAAACAGGGGAGAAAGGAAAGGGAAAGAAAAAUAAAAGGAAAACCUAGGGAUUUGAAGCUUGAAGUUUAAUAGGUAAGCUAAAUCAAGUCCUUUUCUCAUAAAUUUGAUGUUUUUGAAAUCCUAGAGUGAAAUACUCUUGGAUUUAAGUUGAAAAUUUGAAAGAUAAUAGAUUUUUUAGUAGGGUUUAUGUUAAAUAAAUGAUGGAAUUGAGGGUUUAUUUGAUAGAAUUUCUAGUUAGAAUUGAUAAAAGGGGGUUAAAUUGUAAAGUAAGCUAUAAGUUUUGAAUUUUAGGGAUUAAAUUGAAAUAAAUUCGAAAUUAUGAAAAUAUGAUAAAAAUUAGAUAGUUAAAUGUGAGUUUGGUAGGAAAUUAAGUAGUAAAAAGGUAUGAAUUGAGAAAGAAAAAUAUAUAGGUUAGUUAGGAUUAAAUUAGAAUUAAAGUAAAAGUUAGAUAAAAAUUUCAGCAAUUAAAUUGUUUUGUGCUAAUGAUUGUGAAAUUAUUUUAAUUGUUCGUAGCUAAUAUCGAGCAUGAAGCAUCGGCCCAAAAAGGAAAAGAAAAGAUCGUCGAGGAUUAAAUCCGAAGAGAAUUCCGGUUUGUUUUACUAUAAUUCAAAUCUAUUUAUUAUUAAUUGUUAUAUUUUAAUUAAAAUUCAUGGUAAGUAAAAUUAGGUAAGCAAUUGGAAUGAUAAUAGUGGUUUGAAUUGAAUUGAAAUAUGAUUAUAUGUGAUUAUUUGAAAUAUGUAUUGGUAUUAAAUUGUUAAUUGAUUAGAAAGUGGAAAAGUAAUCUUGAAUUGAAAAUGAAAGAGAAUUGAGAAUUUGAAUACCCUAUUAACUAGUCGGGCUAAGUCGGAUAUAGUUGGCAUGCCAUAGGAUUGGAAGAGUACGGGAUUUAUCGGCUUUGCCGAUCAGACACUUUAUGUGUCGUAUCAGGCACCUCGUGUGUCGUUUCAGGCACUUAUGUGUCGCAUACUGAUCAGGUACUAUGUACCGUUUUAGGCACAAUGUGCCGUAUUGGUGUGUUUGGGUUGGAAUCUGUGUAUCCGUCAAAGUCCAGAUUGUUAAUAGGGUGAAUAAUUGAAAUGAGAAAAUCAAAUGAAUUUGAUCGAUUGUGGUAUUGAAUAUGAGAAAAUUUAAAAUUGCGGAUUGAAAUUGAUAUUGAAAAUGAAAGGCAUGAAUUUAAUGUUUAUGUAGUGAUUAAAAUUGCUACAUGUGAUAUGCGAUUGAGAUUGAAGAAUAGAUAAAAAUUGUAUUGUUAUUGUUAAAUAAUGAAAGUUUAUGAAUUAAUUGAUAUUUAACAAACCGGAUAGUUAUAUGCUCGGUAAUUAUAAUUCUUUAUUGCUAUUAUAAUUUGAAUUAUGGUAAUACCACUGAGUAUAAAAUACUCAGCGUACGGUUGUUUCCGUGCGUAGGUUGAAAAGGGGUCUGAGUCUCAGUUCAGCAUCCAGGACAAUCCCGACUCCUGCAUAGAGAUUUCGGUGAUGUUUUCUUCCUUAAAUGAAAGUGGCAUGUACAUAAGAAUUAUAAUAGUUAUUUUGGUAUGUUAUAUAGUUUUGUUGUAAAGUAAGAUAUUAUGUGUUUUGAUGAUUAUAUUAGUAAAAUGGUAGAAGUUCUUUAUGGCAUUGGUAUCGAAUUGAAAUGAUUUGAUUAGUUUUAUGAGUUAAUUAGAAAUGAUAAUAGGAUUUUUAUUAAUUAAGUUGUUAUGUC